UUUGACCUCGAAUCAGGUAGGACUACCCGCUGAACUUAAGCAUAUCAAUAAGCGGAGGA
Molecule: ribosomal RNA, 59 nt
Filed under: Mariannaea pinicola
Lineage: Eukaryota; Fungi; Ascomycota; Sordariomycetes; Hypocreales; Nectriaceae
Description: partial 28S ribosomal RNA
Rfam family: Eukaryotic large subunit ribosomal RNA
Source: RNAcentral